Molecule: microRNA, 21 nt
Filed under: Ananas comosus (pineapple)
Lineage: Eukaryota; Viridiplantae; Streptophyta; Magnoliopsida; Poales; Bromeliaceae
Description: microRNA s0080_c037
Source: RNAcentral
CCACCGGCUUAUCUCUCCAUC